UUUGGAGCCAAGGGAAACCCGGAAGACUGUUUGCCAGGAGACGCAUUUUGCCACAUCAGGGACAGCACCACGUUGCAUUUCAGAAACACGAGCCUGUAGCCCCUGCCCGGCGGUGUGGCCGUCUGAUGGAUAGCUGUGCCCCUCACACCCCUGUUGUGACCCCUGUGCCUCCUGCCGCUGUCGCCUCUUCAACACCAUCUGCCACUGCUGGAGACUGGGCCCACACUGCCCCAAGAAGACCUAGACAACACACACAAACACACAAACACACACACACACACACACACACACACACACACACACACACACACACACACACACACACACACACACACACACACACACACACA
Molecule: long non-coding RNA, 350 nt
Organism: Oncorhynchus masou masou (cherry salmon)
Lineage: Eukaryota; Metazoa; Chordata; Actinopteri; Salmoniformes; Salmonidae
Exons: 2
Source: RefSeq, a predicted model, not a curated record